Molecule: ribosomal RNA, 343 nt
Filed under: Cephalobidae environmental sample
Lineage: Eukaryota; Metazoa; Nematoda; Chromadorea; Rhabditida; Cephalobidae
Description: SSU rRNA
Rfam family: Eukaryotic small subunit ribosomal RNA
Source: RNAcentral
UUCUGACCGUAAACGAUGCCAACUAGCGAUCCGCCGGUGGAUUUUUCAGCCCUGGUGGGUAGCUUCCCGGAAACGAAAGUCUUCCGGUUCCGGGGGAAGUAUGGUUGCAAAGCUGAAACUUAAAGGAAUUGACGGAAGGGCACCACCAGGAGUGGAGCCUGCGGCUUAAUUUGACUCAACACGGGGAAACUCACCCGGCCCGGACACCGUAAGGAUUGACAGAUUGAUAGCUCUAUCAUGAUUCGGUGGUUGGUGGUGCAUGGCUCGUUCUUAGUUCGUGGAUCGAUUUGUCUGGUUUAUUCCGAUAACGAGCGAGACUGUAGCCUACUAAAUAGUGACGGAA